This 525-nucleotide ribosomal RNA is filed under the name Colletotrichum tropicale. RNAcentral's name for it is "eukaryotic LSU rRNA". The stretch from base 175 to 328 matches the Rfam family "5.8S ribosomal RNA". RNAcentral also lists the same sequence under 2 other names. Lineage: Eukaryota; Fungi; Ascomycota; Sordariomycetes; Glomerellales; Glomerellaceae. The record is from RNAcentral.
UACUGAGUUUACGCUCUACAACCCUUUGUGAACAUACCUAUAACUGUUGCUUCGGCGGGUAGGGUCUCCGCGACCCUCCCGGCCUCCCGCCUCCGGGCGGGUCGGCGCCCGCCGGAGGAUAACCAAACUCUGAUUUAACGACGUUUCUUCUGAGUGGUACAAGCAAAUAAUCAAAACUUUUAACAACGGAUCUCUUGGUUCUGGCAUCGAUGAAGAACGCAGCGAAAUGCGAUAAGUAAUGUGAAUUGCAGAAUUCAGUGAAUCAUCGAAUCUUUGAACGCACAUUGCGCCCGCCAGCAUUCUGGCGGGCAUGCCUGUUCGAGCGUCAUUUCAACCCUCAAGCUCUGCUUGGUGUUGGGGCCCUACAGCUGAUGUAGGCCCUCAAAGGUAGUGGCGGACCCUCUCGGAGCCUCCUUUGCGUAGUAACUUUACGUCUCGCACUGGGAUCCGGAGGGACUCUUGCCGUAAAACCCCCAAUUUUCCAAAGGUUGACCUCGGAUCAGGUAGGAAUACCCGCUGAACUUA